This is a non-coding RNA of Rhopilema esculentum, 750 nucleotides long. Lineage: Eukaryota; Metazoa; Cnidaria; Scyphozoa; Rhizostomeae; Rhizostomatidae. The record is from RefSeq and is a predicted model, not a curated record.
UUCCAACGAAAAAUGAAAGAAAAAAGGAGUGGAGAACGCAGCUUUUGUGUAAAGUAAAAAGAUGCGAUAGGAGUUUCAACGCAGAGAGGGCCUACAUCUGCGCAAGGCAUUUUGAUCAACAUUGCUUUAGGAUCGGAAAGACUGGAAGAAAAGACCUCCUUGUUGGAAGUUUGCCUACACAGUUCUUACAUAAAAGAAGUCAUGAAAAUAACCAAGGGAAACAAAGGCAUGAGCUUGAAAGACUUUUUCAAGAUGUGCCCUUACCAGUGCUUUACAAAUGAAGAGGUUUCACAGAUUUCAAAAAGAGCAUUGGCAAAAUAAAACAGCCCUGGGUCAUUUUACAUAGCUCUGAUGAGACUGUACCCUUAGGUCUUGCUGACAAAACUGGUAAUAUUCGGAACAAAGUUUCUGUGGACCCCUUUUCGAAUGAUACAAAUUUUGUUCUCUCUGAGAAAUCCUCUGAAGAAAAGAAAGAGAUGUAGCUUUCCUCUUAUUUGGAAAGCGAGGAAAGUGUUUCAAUGCUUCAGUAAUAGAGGGGGCUAGUAAUAAAAACUAGAAUACCAGCAAUUUUGGCAUAACGAGUUUUGUAUAUUGUUAAAAAGACCAGAAAAUGAAUAUUUCUCUAUUAGAAUUAUUUUUGUAAUAUUAGCUAUAUUUCAAGCUGUUUAGUUCAUAUUUCAUCCAUAUUCAAUUGUUGAAGUAUUUUAAGAAAUAUUAACUUUUGCCUGAUAGCUGAGCAUUUCAAGUGGG